AAUUUGAUAAGAUAUUUAAAAGAGAGAGUAAAGGAGAAGGAGGAGAAUCAUAUGUACAAUAAUAGUAAUACUAAGGACAAUGAUAAAUGAGAGAAGGAAGAAGAAGAGUGUGACAGGGGAUAAGAGUAGUGAUGAAAAAUGAGGAGAAAGAAAAAGAUGAAGUGUAGGAAAGGAAGGGGGAUAAGUAGAAGUGUGCAGCCGCAAAGUAGUAGUAGGAGUAUGUGAGAGUAAAAAAGAACGAAGAAAAUAAAGAAGAAUAAGAAAAGAUGGAGAAAGAAGAUUUAUCAAGUAAUUAUCAAAUGAAAAUUAAUGAUAAAUUUUUGUAGUUAGAUUUUGUUCUAGUUAAAGGGUCUGAGGCCGAUCGUCCUUCCUUCGUUCACUGCCUUUUCUGUUCACACCUCUCAAUCGUUCUGGAAUCUCACGACUACUUGUUAUCGCCUGGUGUGUAACCUGUAGAAAACACUCUGAUGUUCAAGUCAGAUAUGUGUUCUACAAAAAGAUUUAUGUGAUUACUCGAAAAAAUGUCUUUAUUUGG
RNAcentral lists this long non-coding RNA (535 nucleotides) under Vigna radiata. Its description in RNAcentral is "long non-coding RNA (VRAD_LNC017204)". The record is from RNAcentral. Lineage: Eukaryota; Viridiplantae; Streptophyta; Magnoliopsida; Fabales; Fabaceae.